RNAcentral lists this unclassified non-coding RNA (227 nucleotides) under Hevea brasiliensis (rubber tree). Lineage: Eukaryota; Viridiplantae; Streptophyta; Magnoliopsida; Malpighiales; Euphorbiaceae. The record is from RNAcentral.
GCAUCAUUUAAAAAUGAAAUCCCAAACACACGUUUUGUUCACAUCUUUCUUGGAGAAUGGGUGGAAGAGUGACUUCUCAUAAAUUUUCAUUCUCUAAUAUUUGAUAAUCUUACCAAGACGUGAAAACUCUUAUAUAUACAUAAUAUAAACCCGUAUCGUUAGUUUAACAUUGCAUUCAAAUGAUAGAAAAUAUUUUCUAAUAUAAAAUAUUUUUUUAGAAAACAUUU